This is a non-coding RNA of Odocoileus virginianus texanus, 515 nucleotides long. The record is from RefSeq and is a predicted model, not a curated record. NCBI's taxonomy places the organism in Eukaryota, Metazoa, Chordata, Mammalia, Artiodactyla, Cervidae.
UGCGUUGUACGGGCUGGGGAUUGAGACCUGGGAGCUAGAGUCCGGCCCCAAGCACCCUCGGGGAGGUCUGAGGCUUGGGUUCCCGGAGAUGCCCGCCUGCCGCUUCCUCGCCCAGGAGGCCUCGGGCAGUGCUACCGGUUGCCCCCUCUGCAGGUCACAAAACCCGUUGGAAACUUGUUCUGUUCUGUUCCAACCUGGAAGCCCUGGGUCUGUAAGACUGAUUUCUUUCCAUCUGACCAGCCUGGAGGGUCAGGCCUAGAGCCUCCAGCCCACUCUGUGGAUGAUGAGGGUGAUCAUCGUCUCAAAGGCCUGGCUGCAAACAAACCUGCCAGGACUCCACUGGAGGUUCUACAGAGUUGGUCAGGAGCGCGGGCUCGGGCCCGAGGGCUGGGGUCCCGCUGUGCAACCUUGGGGAGUCUGCCUCAACCCCUGUGCCUCGGUGUCUUCAUCUGAAAUGUGGGAGCCCGACAAGACGGGCUUGCUGUGGAGAUUAAAUGAGUUUUUAUUAUACAUGA